GCUAACAUGCAAGUCGAACGAUGAAGCCCAGCUUGCUGGGUGGAUUAGUGGCGAACGGGUGAGUAACACGUGAGUAACCUGCCCUUGACUCUGGGAUAAGCGCUGGAAACGGCGUCUAAUACCGGAUACGACCUGCCCCGGCAUCGGGUGCGGGUGGAAAGUUUUUCGGUCAAGGAUGGACUCGCGGCCUAUCAGCUAGUUGGUGAGGUAAUGGCUCACCAAGGCGACGACGGGUAGCCGGCCUGAGAGGGUGACCGGCCACACUGGGACUGAGACACGGCCCAGACUCCUACGGGAGGCAGCAGUGGGGAAUAUUGCACAAUGGGCGAAAGCCUGAUGCAGCAACGCCGCGUGGGGGAUGACGGCCUUCGGGUUGUAAACCUCUUUUAGUAGGGAAGAAGGGCUUCGGCUUGACGGUACCUGCAGAAAAAGCACCGGCUAACUACGUGCCAGCAGCCGCGGUAAUACGUAGGGUGCAAGCGUUGUCCGGAAUUAUUGGGCGUAAAGAGCUCGUAGGCGGUUUGUCGCGUCUGCUGUGAAAACCCGAGGCUCAACCUCGGGCCUGCAGUGGGUACGGGCAGACUAGAGUGCGGUAGGGGAGAAUGGAAUUCCUGGUGUAGCGGUGGAAUGCGCAGAUAUCAGGAGGAACACCGAUGGCGAAGGCAGUUCUCUGGGCCGUUACUGACGCUGAGGAGCGAAAGCGUGGGGAGCGAACAGGAUUAGAUACCCUGGUAGUCCACGCCGUAAACGUUGGGAACUAGAUGUGGGGACCUUUCCACGGUCUCCGUGUCGCAGCUAACGCAUUAAGUUCCCCGCCUGGGGAGUACGGCCGCAAGGCUAAAACUCAAAGGAAUUGACGGGGGCCCGCACAAGCGGCGGAGCAUGCGGAUUAAUUCGAUGCAACGCGAAGAACCUUACCAAGGCUUGACAUAUACCGGAAACUUCCAGAAAUGGUUGCCCCGCAAGGUCGGUAUACAGGUGGUGCAUGGUUGUCGUCAGCUCGUGUCGUGAGAUGUUGGGUUAAGUCCCGCAACGAGCGCAACCCUCGUUCUAUGUUGCCAGCACGUCAUGGUGGGAACUCAUAGGAGACUGCCGGGGUCAACUCGGAGGAAGGUGGGGAUGACGUCAAAUCAUCAUGCCCCUUAUGUCUUGGGCUUCACGCAUGCUACAAUGGCCGGUACAAAGGGCUGCGAUACCGUAAGGUGGAGCGAAUCCCAAAAAGCCGGUCUCAGUUCGGAUUGAGGUCUGCAACUCGACCUCAUGAAGUCGGAGUCGCUAGUAAUCGCAAUC
This 1290-nucleotide ribosomal RNA is filed under the name Rathayibacter sp. ALBL_219. RNAcentral describes it as "bacterial SSU rRNA". It matches the Rfam family "Bacterial small subunit ribosomal RNA", at positions 46 to 1349 of the family's 1533-position model. The record is from RNAcentral. Lineage: Bacteria; Bacillati; Actinomycetota; Actinomycetes; Micrococcales; Microbacteriaceae.